This 424-nucleotide ribosomal RNA is filed under the name Verrucomicrobiota bacterium. Its description in RNAcentral is "Verrucomicrobia bacterium partial 16S ribosomal RNA". It matches the Rfam family "Bacterial small subunit ribosomal RNA", at positions 355 to 776 of the family's 1533-position model. The record is from RNAcentral. Lineage: Bacteria; Pseudomonadati; Verrucomicrobiota.
UGAGGAAUAUUGGUCAAUGGGCGAGAGCCUGAACCAGCCAAGUAGCGUGCAGGAUGACGGCCCUAUGGGUUGUAAACUGCUUUUACGCGGGGAUAAAGUGCGUGACGUGUCGCGCAUCGCAGGUACCGCGUGAAUAAGGACCGGCUAAUUCCGUGCCAGCAGCCGCGGUAAUACGGAAGGUCCGGGCGUUAUCCGGAUUUAUUGGGUUUAAAGGGAGCGCAGGCCGCCCGAUAAGCGUGUUGUGAAAUGUACCGGCUCAACCGGUGAGUUGCAGCGCGAACUGUCAGGCUUGAGUGCACGGUAAGCAGGCGGAAUUCAUGGUGUAGCGGUGAAAUGCUUAGAUAUCAUGAGGAACUCCGAUUGCGAAGGCAGCUUGCUGCAGUGCGACUGACGCUUAGGCUCGAAGGUGCGGGUAUCAAACAGG